Molecule: unclassified non-coding RNA, 380 nt
Filed under: soil metagenome
Description: partial contains 5.8S ribosomal RNA, internal transcribed spacer 2, and large subunit ribosomal RNA
Rfam family: 5.8S ribosomal RNA (bases 1-120)
Source: RNAcentral
GAUGAAGAACGCAGCGAAAUGCGAUAAGUAAUGUGAAUUGCAGAAUUCAGUGAAUCAUCGAAUCUUUGAACGCACCUUGCACCCUUUGGCAUUCUGAAGGGUAUGCUCGUUUGAGUGUCAUUGUACUCUCACACUCCCGAUCUUUGCAUUGGGAGCAGUGGACUUGGGUUUGCUGCUUCACCGUCGCUUACCUCAAAUAGGUUAGUGCAACUCUUGGUUGGACAUAGUACGGCGUGAUAAGUGUUCUUCGCCGGUGCCUCGCAAAGAGGGUGGCCGAUCGGGAUGUUGUGCUCCAAACCGUCUUCGGACAAUCUCUGACGACUGGACCUCAAAUCGAGUAAGACUACCCGCUGAACUUAAGCAUAUCAAUAAGCGGAGGA